ACUAUUCUAUUUUCUGUGAUGAUA
RNAcentral lists this non-coding RNA (24 nucleotides) under Arabidopsis thaliana (thale cress). The record is from RNAcentral. Lineage: Eukaryota; Viridiplantae; Streptophyta; Magnoliopsida; Brassicales; Brassicaceae.